UGCACAUCUAGUUUGCUGAACUGCUGUC
This 28-nucleotide non-coding RNA is filed under the name Bombyx mori (domestic silkworm). The record is from RNAcentral. Lineage: Eukaryota; Metazoa; Arthropoda; Insecta; Lepidoptera; Bombycidae.